Molecule: ribosomal RNA, 483 nt
Filed under: uncultured bacterium
Lineage: Bacteria
Description: partial 16S ribosomal RNA
Rfam family: Bacterial small subunit ribosomal RNA
Source: RNAcentral
UUGAACGCUGGCGGCAUGCUUUACACAUGCAAGUCGAACGGCAGCGCGGGCUUCGGCCUGGCGGCGAGUGGCGAACGGGUGAGUAAUGCAUCGGAACGUGCCCAGUAGUGGGGGAUAGCCCGGCGAAAGCCGGAUUAAUACCGCAUACGACCUGAGGGUGAAAGCGGGGGACCGAAAGGCCUCGCGCUAUUGGAGCGGCCGAUGUCGGAUUAGCUAGUUGGUGGGGUAAAGGCUUACCAAGGCGACGAUCCGUAGCUGGUCUGGGAGGACGACCAGCCACACUGGGACUGAGACACGGCCCAGACUCCUACGGGAGGCAGCAGUGGGGAAUUUUGGACAAUGGGGGCAACCCUGAUCCAGCCAUGCCGCGUGCGGGAAGAAGGCCUUCGGGUUGUAAACCGCUUUUGUUCGGGAAGAAAUCCUCUGGGCUAAUACCCCGGGGGGAUGACGGUACCGGAAGAAUAAGCACCGGCUAACUACGUG